CAGCCGCCGCGGUAAUACCGGCGGCCCGAGUGGCGGCCACUAUUAUUGGGCCUAAAGCGUCCGUAGCCGGGCUGGUAAGUCCUCCGGGAAAUCUGGUCGCUUAACGAUCAGACUUCCGGAGGAUACUGCUGGCCUAGGGACCGGGAGAGGCCGAGGGUAUUCCCGGGGUAGGGGUGAAAUCCUGUAAUCCCGGGAGGACCACCUGUGGCGAAGGCGCUCGGCUGGAACGGGUCCGACGGUGAGGGACGAAGGCCAGGGGAGCGAACCGGAUUAGAUACCCGGGUAGUCCUGGCUGUAAACGAUGCGGACUAGGUGUCGGGCAAGCUAAGGGCUUGUCCGGUGCCGCAGGGAAGCCGUUAAGUCCGCCGCCUGGGGAGUACGGCCGCAAGGCUGAAACUUAAAGGAAUUGGCGGG
This 414-nucleotide ribosomal RNA is filed under the name uncultured microorganism. Its description in RNAcentral is "bacterial SSU rRNA". It matches the Rfam family "Archaeal small subunit ribosomal RNA", at positions 459 to 872 of the family's 1478-position model. The record is from RNAcentral.